AUGUUGUUAGUAUUUGCAUCAGAGUGUUCGCUCCGAGUCUUUCCUCUGUCAUGUCCCCUCAGCCAUUGUAGUCAGGCAGUUGCGAUUCCCUCAGUUUGUCCUCUGCUUUUGGAUAGUGUUUUUUUUCUCCUUGAUCCCUGCAGAUUGUGCAGGGACAUUACACCACCACUAAUGGAGAAGUCCAUUACGUUCGAUGAUACCACAGUGUGUUUGUCUCUGUGUACAAUGUUCUCCUGGAUCUGCUCCUCUAGCUCUGCAUCACUUCCUGGAGGUUGUUCCAGUUCACAUGGAAAUCCUCCACUUUAUUAUUCCUUUGAGCACAAUAGUAUUCCAUUACCAGCAUAUACCACAAUUUGUUCAGCCAUUCCCCAAUUGAUGGGCAUCCCCUCAUUUUCCAAUUUUUGGCCACCACAAAGAGCGCAGCUAUGAAUAUUUUUGUACAAGUCUUUUUGUCCAUUAUCUCUUUGGGGUACAGACCCAGCAGUGCUAUGGCUGGAUCAAAGGGUAGACAUUCUUUUAUCGCCCUUUGUGCAUAGUUCCAAAUUGCCCUCCAGAAUGGCUGGAUCAGUUCACAACUCCACCAGCAAUGAAUUAAUGUCCCUACUUUGCCACAUCCCCUCCAGCAUUCAUUACUUUCCAUAACAGUCAUGUUAGCCAAUCUGCUAGGUGUGAGGUGAUACCUCAGAGUUGUUUUGAUUUGCAUCUCUCUGAUUAUAAGAGAUGUGGAGCACUUCUUCAUGAAGCAGUUGCUUUUCAAUGGUGUUUUUACUCCCACAGUUUAUGCUCUGCUUGUGGAUAGUAUUUUUUAGAUCUCUGCAGAUUGUUCAGGGACAUUGCAUUGACACUAAUGGAGAAGUCCAUCACCUUCGAUUGUACCACAAUGUAUCAGUCUCUGUGUACAAUGAUUUCCUGGUUCUGCUCCUUUUCCUCUGCAUCACUUCCUGGAGGUGGUUCCAGUCUCCAUGGAAUUCCUCUACUUUAUUAUUCCUUUUAGCACAAUAGUAUUCCAUCACCAACAUAUACCACAAUUUGUUCAGCCAUUCCCCAAUUGAUGGGCAUCCCCUCGUUUUCCAAUUUUUGGCCACCACAAAGAGUGCAGCUAUGAAUAUUCUUGUACAAGUCUUUUUCCUUAUUAUCUCUUUGGGGUACAAACCAAGCAGUGCUAUAGCUGAAUCAAAGGGCAGACAGUCUUUUAUCACCCUUUGGGCAUUGUUCCAAAUUGCCCUCCAGAAUGGCAGGAUCAAUUCACAACUCCACCAGCAAUGAAUUCGCGUCCCCACUUUGCCACAUCCCCUCCAGCAUUCAUUACUUUCCAUAGCUGUCAUGUUAGCCAAUCUGCUAGGUGUGAGGUGAUACCUCAGAGUUGUUUUGAUUUGCAUCUCUCUGAUUAUAAGAGAUGUAGAGCACUUUUUCAUAUACUUAUUAAUAG
Molecule: long non-coding RNA, 1429 nt
Filed under: Monodelphis domestica (gray short-tailed opossum)
Lineage: Eukaryota; Metazoa; Chordata; Mammalia; Didelphimorphia; Didelphidae
Description: lncRNA (ENSMODG00000047870.1)
Source: RNAcentral